This 253-nucleotide ribosomal RNA is filed under the name uncultured bacterium. RNAcentral describes it as "partial 16S ribosomal RNA". It matches the Rfam family "Bacterial small subunit ribosomal RNA", at positions 524 to 776 of the family's 1533-position model. The record is from RNAcentral.
GACAGAGGGUGCAAGCGUUGUUCGGAAUUACUGGGCGUAAAGCGCGUGUAGGCGGUCUGAUAAGUCGGAUGUGAAAGCCCCGGGCUCAACCCGGGAAGUGCAUUCGAAACUGCCAGGCUAGAGUGUCGGAGAGGUUGGUGGAAUUCUCGGUGUAGAGGUGAAAUUCGUAGAUAUCGGGAGGAACACCGGUGGCGAAGGCGGCGACCUGGGUCGAGACUGACGCUGAGGCGCGAAAGCGUGGGGAGCAAACAGG